Molecule: long non-coding RNA, 342 nt
Organism: Cucumis melo (muskmelon)
Lineage: Eukaryota; Viridiplantae; Streptophyta; Magnoliopsida; Cucurbitales; Cucurbitaceae
Exons: 3
Source: RefSeq, a predicted model, not a curated record
UGUUUGUUUCCAUUUUAGCUUCAUUGCCCACAUGAAUUGAAUUUGAUAAGGUAUGUGUUUAUGAUGUUGGGUAAGAAGUAAUAAGAUUGUCUCUGACUCUGUUAUUGUCUUUUGUUGGUGUAUUGUAUUGAUAGGGAUGUGUGCGUCAAACUUGGAGUCUUCAUCCAAAGAUAAGGUGAGAAGGAAACUUUUGGCCACUACUCAUUAGGCUCAAAUUUGGAUAUUUCACAUUUAGGGGGUUCUUUCAUGGUUAUUCAUUUAUUACGGUUCUCAUGAUUCUAAAUCAUGCCCUCAGUGGCAUUGUUGGAUCUAUGAUGUUAAAGUAUGCUGAUAAUAUUGUGA